CGGCCGUAACUAUAACGGUCCUAAGGUAGCGAAAUUCCUUGUCGGGUAAGUUCCGACCUGCACGAAUGGCGUAACGAUCUCCACACUGUCUCGGCCAGAGACUCGGUGAAAUUGCAGUCGCGGUGAAAAUUCCGUGUACCCGCAGAAAGACGGAAAGACCCUGUGCACCUUUACUAUAGCUUGACAUUGGAUUUUGGGCCUGCAUGUGUAGGAUAGGUGGGAGGCUGUGAACCCUGUACGCCAGUAUGGGGGGAGCCAUCCUUGAAAUACCACCCUUGCAUGUUUAAGAUCCUAACUUCUUCCGGUUAUCCCGGAGAAAGACAGUGUCUGGCGGGUAGUUUGACUGGGGCGGUCGCCUCCUAAAGUGUAACGGAGGCAUGCAAAGGUUCCCUCAGCCUGAUCGGAAACCAGGCGCUGAGUGCAAACGCAUAAGGGAGCUUGACUGUAAGAGAGACAUCUCGAACAGGAACGAAAGUUGGCGUUAGUGAUCCGGUGGUCCCGAAUGGAAGGGCCAUCGCUCAUUGGAUAAAAGGUACGCCGGGGAUAACAGGCUGAUCGCAUCCAAGAGUUCACAUCGACGAUGCGGUUUGGCACCUCGAUGUCGGCUCAUCACAUCCUGGGGCUGAAGCAGGUCCCAAGGGUACGGCUGUUCGCCGUUUAAAGUGGUACGCGAGCUGGGUUUAAAACGUCGUGAGACAGUUUGGUCCCUAUCUUCUGUGGGCGAAGGAGAAUUGAGAGGGCCUGUCCCUAGUACGAGAGGACCGGGAUGGACGCACCCCUGGUGAUCCUGUUGUCGCGCCAGCGGCAUAGCAGGGUAGCUAUGUGCGGAAGGGAUAACCGCUGAAAGCAUCUAAGCGGGAAGCCUGCCUCAAGAUAAGUUCUCCCCUCGAAAGAGCUGAAGGGCCCGGGUAGACUACCCGGUCGAUAGGCUGGAGGUGUAAGCGCGGCGACGUGCUCAGCUGACCAGUACUAAUAGCCCGAGCGGCUUAUUUUU
RNAcentral lists this ribosomal RNA (994 nucleotides) under human gut metagenome. Its description in RNAcentral is "bacterial LSU rRNA". It matches the Rfam family "Bacterial large subunit ribosomal RNA", at positions 1931 to 2925 of the family's 2925-position model. The record is from RNAcentral.